Molecule: ribosomal RNA, 516 nt
Filed under: uncultured bacterium
Lineage: Bacteria
Description: partial 16S ribosomal RNA
Rfam family: Bacterial small subunit ribosomal RNA
Source: RNAcentral
GACGAACGCUGGCGGCAUGCCUAACACAUGCAAGUCGAGCGGAGUUGAUGGAAAGCUUGCUUUCCUGAUACUUAGCGGCGGACGGGUGAGUAACACGUAGGCAGCCUGCCCUCAAGCUUGGGACAACUACCGGAAACGGUAGCUAAUACCGAAUACUUGUUUUCUUCGCCUGAAGAGAACUGGAAAGACGGAGCAAUCUGUCACUUGGGGAUGGGCCUGCGGCGCAUUAGCUAGUUGGUGAGGUAACGGCUCACCAAGGCGACGAUGCGUAGCCGACCUGAGAGGGUGAUCGGCCACACUGGGACUGAGACACGGCCCAGACUCCUACGGGAGGCAGCAGUAGGGAAUCUUCCGCAAUGGGCGAAAGCCUGACGGAGCGAUGCCGCGUGAGUGAUGAAGGUUUUCGGAUCGUAAAGCUCUGUUGCCAGGGAAGAACGCUUGGGAGAGUAACUGCUCCCAAGGUGACAGUACCUGAGAAGAAAGCCCCGGCUAACUACGUGCCAGCCGCCGCGGUAA